CAGUCGCCGGGGAAUACGAAGGGUGCAAGCGUUACUCGGAAUUACUGGGCGUAAAGCGUGCGUAGGUGGUGGUUUAAGUCCGUUGUGAAAGCCCUGGGCUCAACCUGGGAAUUGCAGUGGAUACUGGGUCACUAGAGUGUGGUAGAGGAUAGUGGAAUUUCCGGUGUAGCAGUGAAAUGCGUAGAGAUCGGAAGGAACAUCUGUGGCGAAGGCGACUAUCUGGGCCAACACUGACACUGAGGCACGAAAGCGUGGGGAGCAAACAGGAUUAGAUACCCCCGUAGUCCCUGUCUCUUAUACA
This 301-nucleotide ribosomal RNA is filed under the name uncultured bacterium. Its description in RNAcentral is "partial 16S ribosomal RNA". It matches the Rfam family "Bacterial small subunit ribosomal RNA", at positions 512 to 808 of the family's 1533-position model. The record is from RNAcentral.